This is an RNA transcript of Macadamia integrifolia, 1936 nucleotides long. It is a transcript of the gene named serine/arginine-rich splicing factor SC35-like, with no coding region annotated. The record is from RefSeq and is a predicted model, not a curated record. The transcript has 9 exons. Lineage: Eukaryota; Viridiplantae; Streptophyta; Magnoliopsida; Proteales; Proteaceae.
UCUCGAAAGUUCUCUUUGUAUUGAAAGAAAUUUCCUUUGCCUCAUAUCACCACCCUAACAGGCUAACCCUUAUCCUUCCUGUUCUAUCUCGUUUGUUCAGUUGCAGAGAUGUCACAUUUUGGUAGAUCCGGUCCUCCAGAUAUCAGAGAUACAUACUCUCUUCUCGUUCUUAACAUCACCUUCCGAACUACAGCAGAUGAUCUCUUCCCGCUGUUCGAUAAGUAUGGGAAGGUCGUCGACAUCUUUAUCCCGAGAGACAGAAGGACUGGGGACUCACGCGGGUUUGCGUUUGUUCGGUAUAAGUAUGCGGACGAGGCACAGAAGGCAGUAGAAAGGCUCGACGGAAGGAAUGUUGAUGGCAGAGAGAUUAUGGUUCAAUUCGCAAAAUAUGGGCCAAAUGCUGAACCAAUACAGAAAGGAAGGAUAGUGGAAUCAUUGACAAAGUCAAGAGGCAGGUCACGAAGCCGUAGCCCCCGCCCAAGGUACCGAGAUGAUUACAGGGAUAGGGAUUACAGGAGGAGAAGUCGUAGUAGAAGUAGGGGUAGAUAUGAUCGUGACAGGUAUCGUCACAGGGAGAGGGAUUAUCGCCGCCGAACCAGGAGUCGCAGUGUUAGUCCUGAUUACUACCGAGGUCGUGGCAGAGGCAGGUAUGAUGAUGAGAGAAGGAGAAGCCGCAGCCGGUCUUAUGAGAGUGCUUCCCCUCUUCGACAUAGUCCUUCUCCAAGGAAGACGCCUCCAUCUAGGGAUGGAAGUCCUGAUAGACUCAGCCAAGAUGAGCGUUCGUCAUCACCUAGAAGUGCUUCACCCCGAGAUCGAACUGGUGCUUCUCGGAGCUCGUCUCCACAGAAUUCAGAUGCUGAUGAAUGAUGGAGUAGCAUGGCUUGUUCUGGCACUGAAUAUUGGUUAAUGUACCAUCUGUAGCUCUAUUGCUACUGGAAAAUAGCUUCAUGGUUUUGCUUGUCCUAGUCAAAUUACUAGAUGAUAGUUUUGGUAGCUCUGGACUUCAUUUGAAGUUAUGUUCGUGAAAAGAAUUAAUGUGGCUGAUUGGCGAGAUGGUGAUAUUGUAGCUGUUGAUGCUGUUUUGUACUUGAUGGAUGAUGUUCGUUUUGAUGCUCGUUCCAAACAGUAGUAAUCUGGUGGUUCUCACUUCCUAAAAUGUUAAUCAGUUUGCUGUGAUGAUCCAAUGAUUGGUAAGAUUCAUGAUUCAAUUAUCUUCUUUUUUUGGUCUUUCAUCCAUCUGGAUUCAGGCAUUUUACCUGACCACACUCCAUGGCUUCAAUGGUUGUAAUGUUUUGGGCCUUGAAAGGAGUAGUUGUAGCUGUGAUGGCCUAAGAACAUUGGCAGAGGGGGAACAUAAUUUACCUGUAGCUGAUGCUGCGAGUGUCCUGGACCUGAGAUUCGAAUGUUGUUGCAGACUCGAGAAUGAGGCCUAUUUGCUGAGCUUGACCCUUCCAUUAUAACAUGGUCAACAGGGUAACAGCUGCAUGGUUGCUUAUUUUGUUUAGGGUUCUUGGUUAGACUUCAAGUCAUUCAAUGUCUAGUUAUUAGGAUAUUGAUUUGUUGCAUCAUGUAUUGAGAUGUGAUAGCACAUGGAGUUGUGGCUGUAGCUGUGAAGCUGUAGCGGAUAAUAUUGGUAUCAGUGUGAUAGCACAUGAAGUUGUGGCUGUACCUGUGAAGUGGUAGCCGAUAUCCACCUAAUGCUGCUGUUGAUUGCAUUUCUAGUUGCGGGUCAGGUUGAAUCUGGUACUACUGAUUUUGGUGCUGAUUGGCUUUGGUCUGAUUUGGUCUACCUGGUUGCGGUCUGUUCCAGUAGCUCUGCUGGUAUGCCUGUGUUUUUAUCUUAUGCAGGUCAGUUGGAGCUUUUGUUCCUCUGAUCUUACUUUAUGUGGUGCAACCUUGAAAACUAAAUUGAAAAACUCUGCUGAAGUUGUUUUCA